Long non-coding RNA from Thunnus maccoyii (southern bluefin tuna), 773 nucleotides. RefSeq lists it as uncharacterized. The record is from RefSeq and is a predicted model, not a curated record. The transcript is spliced from 3 exons. NCBI's taxonomy places the organism in Eukaryota, Metazoa, Chordata, Actinopteri, Scombriformes, Scombridae.
UAAAAUAUUUCUUUGUUCCAAAAGGCAGACUUCUUAAAAGAGAGAAAAAAAGAGAAGGACUGAAGGAGGAAAGGGGAAGAAAGACUAUUAUUGAGAGAGAGGAAUGUGUAGUCGUUUCACAGGGCUAAGUCCCCGGGUUGCAAGGAGCAGACAGAGGCUUUGAGGGAGCACAGCAGAGCAGAACAGAGCAAAGCAGUUGAAAUGGAAAAAGAAAGAGCUUUGAUCGUGGCAAAGGAGGACAUUGCUUUUGAGAAGAUCGCGAAAAGCCACAUCACUAACGUCACAGCCGCACAGAUGGACCCUCUUCAGUUUGCGUAUUGCGCCAAGAGAGCGAUCGACGUUGCCAAACUUUUCAUACUGGAGAUCAUCCAUAAACACCUAAAGGGCCCAAACACAUCAGCUCAGCUCCUAUUUGCAGGCUUCUCAUGUCGCCUUCACCGCUCUGCAACCCCACAUCCUGGCUGAAAAACUUAUAAACUGAAAAACUCAUGAACAUGGCCACUGCUGUUUGUCAUGCAUUGUCACUGUUCUGUACUGUAUUUCUGUACUCUGCCACGUUGUCACUGCUUGUCAAUCAUGUAUUGUCUUAUAUGUCAUGUUUAUAUGUUCUUUUUUACUAUGCCUGCCUCAGAAAUUGCCCCUUGGGGAUAAAUUAAGUGUUUCUGAAUUGAAUUGAAUGAAUAGCAUUCCACAUUUAUCUUUAUGUCCCUACCUGCCCCUUUACUGAACACGUGCUUAAUUAUCUUCACAUGUGUACUGCUCUCACUGCUGAU